Molecule: ribosomal RNA, 537 nt
Filed under: Salmonella enterica subsp. enterica serovar Typhimurium
Lineage: Bacteria; Pseudomonadati; Pseudomonadota; Gammaproteobacteria; Enterobacterales; Enterobacteriaceae
Description: bacterial SSU rRNA
Rfam family: Bacterial small subunit ribosomal RNA
Source: RNAcentral
AUAUGAGAGUUUGAUCCUGGCUCAGGACGAACGCUGGCGGCGUGCCUAAUACAUGCAAGUAGGACGCACAGCCUAUACCGUAGCUUGCUACACCAUAGGCUGUGAGUUGCGAACGGGUGAGUAACGCGUAGGUAACCUGCCUAUUAGAGGGGGAUAACUAUUGGAAACGAUAGCUAAUACCGCAUAACAGUAUGUAACACAUGUUAGAUGCUUGAAAGAUGCAAUUGCAUCGCUAGUAGAUGGACCUGCGUUGUAUUAGCUAGUAGGUAGGGUAAUGGCCUACCUAGGCAACGAUACAUAGCCGACCUGAGAGGGUGAUCGGCCACACUGGGACUGAGACACGGCCCAGACUCCUACGGGAGGCAGCAGUAGGGAAUCUUCGGCAAUGGGGGGAACCCUGACCGAGCAACGCCGCGUGAGUGAAGAAGGUUUUCGGAUCGUAAAGCUCUGUUGUUAAGGAAGAACGAGUGUGAGAAUGGAAAGUUCAUACUGUGACGGUACUUAACCAGAAAGGGACGGCUAACUACGUGCCAGCAG